UACGGAGGGUGCGAGCGUUGCUCGGAAUUAUUGGGCGUAAAGCGUACGCAGGCUGUUCGUUAAGUCGGGUGUGAAAUCCCAGGGCUCAACCCUGGACGUGCAUCCGAUACUGGCGAGCUUGAGUGCGGGAGAGGGAAGCGGAAUUCCUGGUGUAGAGGUGAAAUUCGUAGAUAUCAGGAGGAACACCGGUGGCGAAAGCGGCUUCCUGGCCCGACACUGACGCUCAUGUACGAAAGCGCGGGGAGCAAACAGG
RNAcentral lists this ribosomal RNA (253 nucleotides) under uncultured bacterium. RNAcentral describes it as "partial 16S ribosomal RNA". It matches the Rfam family "Bacterial small subunit ribosomal RNA", at positions 524 to 776 of the family's 1533-position model. The record is from RNAcentral.